This 468-nucleotide ribosomal RNA is filed under the name uncultured bacterium. Its description in RNAcentral is "partial 16S ribosomal RNA". It matches the Rfam family "Bacterial small subunit ribosomal RNA", at positions 28 to 507 of the family's 1533-position model. The record is from RNAcentral.
GACGAACGCUGGCGGCGUGCUUAACACAUGCAAGUCGAACGGAAAGGCCCUGCUUUUGUGGGGUGCUCGAGUGGCGAACGGGUGAGUAACACGUGAGUAACCUGCCCUUGACUUUGGGAUAACUUCAGGAAACUGGGGCUAAUACCGGAUAGGAGCUCCUGCUGCAUGGUGGGGGUUGGAAAGUUUCGGCGGUUGGGGAUGGACUCGCGGCUUAUCAGCUUGUUGGUGGGGUAGUGGCUUACCAAGGCUUUGACGGGUAGCCGGCCUGAGAGGGUGGCCGGCCACAUUGGGACGGAGAUACGGCCCAGACUCCUACGGGAGGCAGCAGUGGGGAAUAUUGCACAAUGGGCGGAAGCCUGAUGCAGCAACGCCGCGUGCGGGAUGACGGCCUUCGGGUUGUAAACCGCUUUCGCCUGUGACGAAGCGUGAGUGACGGUAAUGGGUAAAGAAGCACCGGCUAACUACGUG